RNAcentral lists this long non-coding RNA (221 nucleotides) under Ananas comosus (pineapple). RNAcentral's name for it is "long non-coding RNA (ACOM_LNC004418)". The record is from RNAcentral. Lineage: Eukaryota; Viridiplantae; Streptophyta; Magnoliopsida; Poales; Bromeliaceae.
UGCUAUCGAUAGCACCAAGGAUUUGGUUCUAUCGAAUUUUUCGCCAAUAAAUUUAACCUUUUAAUUAUUUUUAUCCGUUAGAUUAUACUAUUCAACUAACUACCUACUCAACCCUAGAGGACCCACAUCAUCCUAACUGCACAUUUCUUAAUCUAAGGGCUAAAAAAUUAAUAGCACCAAUAGCUUGAUGCUAUUAAUAGUAUUCCAGCCUAGUUCUAUAU